RNAcentral lists this unclassified non-coding RNA (302 nucleotides) under Tropicoporus tropicalis. RNAcentral's name for it is "partial contains 5.8S ribosomal RNA, internal transcribed spacer 2, and large subunit ribosomal RNA". The record is from RNAcentral. Lineage: Eukaryota; Fungi; Basidiomycota; Agaricomycetes; Hymenochaetales; Hymenochaetaceae.
CGCAUCUUGCGCCCCUUGGUAUUCCGAGGGGCAUGCCUGUUUGAGUGUCAUGUUAAUCUCAAAUCACUUGUCUUUCUUAAUUGAAGGGCCUGAGGUUUGGACUUGGAGGAUUCUUGCUGGCUUCCGUCGGCUCCUCUCAAAUGUAUUAGCUGGGCUUCGGCUUGCGUUUACGGUGUAAUAGUUAAUCCUUUCGCCAGAACGCUUGCCUAAUAGGUCUGCUUCUAAUUGUCCGUCUCGGACAAGGCUUCUGGCCUUCUGACUCCUUUGACCUCAAAUCAGGUAGGACUACCCGCUGAACUUAA